This 1052-nucleotide ribosomal RNA is filed under the name sponge bacterium Ex4. RNAcentral describes it as "bacterial SSU rRNA". It matches the Rfam family "Bacterial small subunit ribosomal RNA", at positions 93 to 1131 of the family's 1533-position model. The record is from RNAcentral.
GACCGGCGCACGGUGCGUAACGCGUAUAGAACCUACCUUUUACUGAGGGAUAGCCUUUAGAAAUGAAGAUUAAUACCUCAUAGUAUUGAGUUUUGGCAUCAAGACUUAAUUAAAGAUUUAUUGGUAAAAGAUGGCUAUGCGUCCUAUUAGUUAGAUGGUAAGGUAACGGCUUACCAUGACUYUGAUAGGUAGGGGUCCUGAGAGGGAGAUCCCCCACACUGGUACUGAGACACGGACCAGACUCCUACGGGAGGCAGCAGUGAGGAAUAUUGGGCAAUGGAGGCAACUCUGACCCAGCCAUGCCGCGUGCAGGAAGACUGCCCUAUGGGUUGUAAACUGCUUUUAUACAGGAAGAAACACUGGUAUGUAUACCAGCUUGACGGUACUGUAAGAAUAAGGACCGGCUAACUCCGUGCCAGCAGCCGCGGUAAUACGGAGGGUCCGAGCGUUAUCCGGAAUCAUUGGGUUUAAAGGGUCCGCAGGCGGUCGAUUAAGUCAGAGGUSAAAUCCCAUAGCUCAACUAUGGAACUGCCUUUGAUACUGGUUGACYUGAGUCAUAUGGAAGUAGAUAGAAUGUGUAGUGUAGCGGUSAAAUGCAUAGAUAUUACACAGAAUACCGAUUGCGAAGGCAGUCUACUACGUAUGUACUGACGCUGAGGGACGAAAGCGUGGGGAGCGAACAGGAUUAGAUACCCUGGUAGUCCACGCCGUAAACGAUGGAUACUAGUUGUUGGGAUUUAUCUCAGUGACUAAGCGAAAGUGAUAAGUAUCCCACCUUGGCGAGUACGSUCGCAAGACUCAAAACUCAAAGGGAAUUGCACGGGGGCCCGCACAAGCGGUGGGAGGCAUGUGGUUUCAAUUCGAUGAUACGCGAGGAACCUUCACCAGGUCUUAAAUGUAGUAUGGCAGGCCUAGAGAUAGUUUUUUUCUUGCGGUACAUAUUACAAGSUGGCUGUCAUGGUUGUGCGUUCAGUCUCCGUGCCGUGUGGUCGUGCAGGUUAAGUUCCUAUAAACGCGCGCAACCCCUGGUUCGUUUAGUUGUCCAUUCAAGU